UACGGAGGGUGCAAGCGUUAUCCGGAUUCACUGGGUUUAAAGGGUGCGUAGGUGGGCUAGUAAGUCAGUGGUGAAAUCUCCGGGCUUAACCCGGAAACUGCCAUUGAUACUAUUAGUCUUGAAUACCAUGGAGGUGAGCGGAAUAUGUCAUGUAGCGGUGAAAUGCUUAGAUAUGACAUAGAACACCCAUUGCGAAGGCAGCUAACUACGCGAUAAUUGACGCUGAUGCACGAAAGCGUGGGGAUCAAACAGG
This 253-nucleotide ribosomal RNA is filed under the name uncultured bacterium. RNAcentral describes it as "partial 16S ribosomal RNA". It matches the Rfam family "Bacterial small subunit ribosomal RNA", at positions 524 to 776 of the family's 1533-position model. The record is from RNAcentral.